This 470-nucleotide long non-coding RNA is filed under the name Hordeum vulgare. RNAcentral describes it as "long non-coding RNA (HVUL_LNC013421)". The record is from RNAcentral. Lineage: Eukaryota; Viridiplantae; Streptophyta; Magnoliopsida; Poales; Poaceae.
ACAUUUUCUAGAUAUAUUUUCUGUAGUGAUAAUAUUCAAAUUCAAUUAUGAAUAUUUUAAACUCCACCUUGUAAAAAUUCUAGAGGGUCCAAAUCAACUCGAAAUGGAGUGAUUCCAGUUUCGAGAGACUCCAAAUAUCAUGCACCAUUUUUCAAUCGUUAGCCAACAUUUUUUUGUGCAUUAUUUCUGUUGCACCAAAUAAAUAGGCCCUUUUUACCAUUUGUCCCAUGUUAGAAAAUCCAUAGGAAAUUCAUACCAAAUCCAAAACCAAUGAAAUCACUUCCUAAAUAUUUCUAAAUUCAUGCCCUAUCAAAUGAGUGCCUCCACUCAUUUUUAACAGAAUAUUUUCUGUAGACUCUUUGUGGGGCGAUUGAUGCCUCCAAUUCCACCAUUCAAAAUUCUUCGGUGAUCCAAAACCAUUAGAAAAACUUUAGGUAUUUUUCUUAUGACCAAAGAUAUACAAAAAAAAA